RNAcentral lists this ribosomal RNA (451 nucleotides) under uncultured bacterium. RNAcentral describes it as "partial 16S ribosomal RNA". It matches the Rfam family "Bacterial small subunit ribosomal RNA", at positions 354 to 796 of the family's 1533-position model. The record is from RNAcentral.
GUGGGGAAUAUUGGACAAUGGGGGGAACCCUGAUCCAGCCAUGCCGCGUGUGUGAAGAAGGCCUUUUGGUUGUAAAGCACUUUAAGCGAGGAGGAGGCUACCGAGAUUAAUACUCUUGGAUAGUGGACGUUACUCGCAGAAUAAGCACCGGCUAACUCUGUGCCAGCAGCCGCGGUAAUACAGAGGGUGCAAGCGUUAAUCGGAUUUACUGGGCGUAAAGCGCGCGUAGGUGGCCAAUUAAGUCAAAUGUGAAAUCCCCGAGCUUAACUUGGGAAUUGCAUUCGAUACUUGUUGGCUAGAGUAUGGGAGAGGAUGGUAGAAUUCCAGGUGUAGCGGUUAAAUGCGUAGAGAUCUGGAGGAAUACCGAUGGCGAAGGCAGCCAUCUGGCCUAAUACUGACACUGAGGUGCGAAAGCAUGGGGAGCAAACAGGAUUAGAAACCCUGGUAGUCC